Molecule: long non-coding RNA, 140 nt
Organism: Thamnophis elegans (Western terrestrial garter snake)
Lineage: Eukaryota; Metazoa; Chordata; Lepidosauria; Squamata; Natricidae
Exons: 3
Source: RefSeq, a predicted model, not a curated record
GCACAUCUUCCUCUCCUGGGGUUGUGAUGGGUGGUCCUGCCACCACCCGGAGUCCCAGGAAGGAAGAUGUCAGGCCAGCUCUCAUUUCACUGAGAAAUGAGAGCUGUUUGAAGUGGAUGCCGCAGCUACCUACAAUUUGG